CCCCUCUGAGGGUCGCACCUGAAGAGUUUCCAGUACUCUACCAGUCUUGGCUACGGGAGGGAGAGUCAAGCAGAGGCAUACCCAUUCCAUUCCUAGCCCGGUCAGUGGCUAGCGAGUAGAAGGCAAUCUGCUACAUGG
This is a small nucleolar RNA of Tachyglossus aculeatus (Australian echidna), 138 nucleotides long. NCBI's taxonomy places the organism in Eukaryota, Metazoa, Chordata, Mammalia, Monotremata, Tachyglossidae. The record is from RefSeq and is a predicted model, not a curated record.